ACAAGGUUGUUCCAACAAGUCUGAUACAGUCAUGAUAUAACAAGAAUGUUACAAGGUUGACGACACAAGGUUGUAACAAUAUUGUUAUAUCACGACUGUAUCUGACUUGUUGGAACAACCUUGC
Non-coding RNA from Paramuricea clavata, 124 nucleotides. The record is from the annotation of a GenBank genome assembly. Lineage: Eukaryota; Metazoa; Cnidaria; Anthozoa; Malacalcyonacea; Plexauridae.